This 355-nucleotide ribosomal RNA is filed under the name Salinisphaera sp. RNAcentral describes it as "bacterial SSU rRNA". It matches the Rfam family "Bacterial small subunit ribosomal RNA", at positions 1 to 356 of the family's 1533-position model. The record is from RNAcentral. Lineage: Bacteria; Pseudomonadati; Pseudomonadota; Gammaproteobacteria; Salinisphaerales; Salinisphaeraceae.
AUUAAACUGGAGAGUUUGAUCCUGGCUCAGAUUGAACGCUGGCGGCAGGCCUAACACAUGCAAGUCGAGCGGAAACGACAUCUUCGGAUGGGCGUCGAGCGGCGGACGGGUGAGUAAUGCCUAGGAAUCUGCCCUUUUGUGGAGGAUAACCCGGGGAAACUCGGGCUAAUACUGCAUAAUCUCUACGGAGCAAAGCGGGGCUCUUCUACCCUCGCGCAGAAGGAUGAGCCUAGGUCUGAUUAGCUUGUUGGUGGGGUAACGGCCUACCAAGGCGACGAUCAGUAGCUGGUCUGAGAGGAUGAUCAGCCACACCGGGACUGAGACACGGCCCGGACUCCUACGGGAGGCAGCAGUG